UUUGGGGGGGGUUUGUGGGCUUUUGGGAGCUUCUGAGGCUUUUUGGAGCUUUUGGGGGCUUCUGGGGCUUUUUGGGGUGUUUGGGGGCUUUUUUGGGGUUUGGGGGGCUUUUGGGAGCCUUUUGAGGUUUUUGGGGGCUUCUGGGGCUUUUUAGGGCGUUGGGGGUCUUUGGGGGCUUCUGGGGGUUUUUGGGGCGUUUUGGGGCUUUGGGGGCUUUUUAGGAGCUUCUGAGGUUUUGGGGUGCUUUUGGGGGUUUCUGGGGCUCUUGGGGUCUUAAGGGUCCUGAGCCCCCAGUGGCCCCGUGCACGAGGCCCUGCGAGACCCCCCCUAACGGAGGGGAUUUGGGGCACCUGGUUGUACGGCGAAGUCCCGAAAACCCCAAUAAAUGUGCUUAGGGUGUGUGUGUGGGCACAGACCCGAGCUGUCCCGGGGCCGUUUGGUUUCUGUGGGCUCUGAGGGUGCGGGAUGUGAAGUUUUAGCUGAUUUAUUCCACCUUUUAGCCCAAUUUUAACGUUGCCAAGGCAAAUGGCUGGGAGCUGCCCGGGCAGGGCAGGAGGGAAAUCUGUUUUCUAUGCAUCCUCGUGGUGCCUGCUGGCUUCAGGCACCAAAAAGCGUCGUUUGGGGUGGUGUUGGUAGGAAUUGGGGCGUUUGGCUCGUUCCUUUAGGCGCAGGGCUUGCGGGUAGCUGGUGGUGCCCCUGCUCCGAGCCUUUGUAGGUGUUAAAAAAGGAGAAGUGGAGCCCUUGUCCCCAAAACGAGCCGGGACUCCUGCAGCUGCUCCGUGCCCCUGCUUUUCGGGUGCAUGGAGGAGGUCUCGGCACCGCAGCUGUCCGAAUCCUGUGGCAGCAAAGUUUGUGGCAGGCAUUUGGGCUAAAAUAUUCAGAUAUAAAAUGUCACUUGGUGGGACUUCUGGCACUGCUCUCCUCCCGUUCUGGGUGCUGCGGCUCCCCCCGGGUCCUCUCCCUGCCUCCGAGUGCCCUCUGCUGGAGCUCGCUCCCCUCUCUGCAGUGCCACCUUUGUCCCCGGGCUGCAGGGGAUCUGGUGAGGUUUGGUGCAAUUUGUGCAUGUCAUAAAACAGCCCUGGGGGGCCGAGUGUGGGUACAGGGGAGGGAUGCCACGAAACCUGCAUGGCUUUGAGCCCCAAAGGUGCCCUCUGUUUGCCAAACCGAGCUCGUUUGGCUCGCUUACUGGGGACCUGUCUCCAAAAUCGCUUAGUUUGACCCCAUUUCUUGUGACCCUAUUGAGUGCCUGUGACCCUAUUGAGUGCCUGCCCCGUUAGACAAGAGCACCCCAAAACGGGUGCCCUGUUUUUGCUCUAAAUCUCUGCUUUGUGCUGCAUCGGAUGGGGAGUAAGUGCUGGGACCGGACACCAGC
RNAcentral lists this long non-coding RNA (1372 nucleotides) under Anas zonorhyncha (Eastern spot-billed duck). RNAcentral's name for it is "lncRNA (ENSAZOG00000010254.1)". Lineage: Eukaryota; Metazoa; Chordata; Aves; Anseriformes; Anatidae. The record is from RNAcentral.